AAGGUGAAGUACUAGAAAUAGUAUUCUGACCCAUUUUUUCAAUAACUACCGCCUCUCUAGAGCUACUAUGUAACCUCUUCUCACAGCAUUCUUUUCACUUUGGUUGAGGACAAAUCAUUUCCAGGUUCUUAAAGAAAAUCGUUCCAGAAUCGUGAGGAAACUUUGUAGAAAGAAAUGGGAUGAGGGGAGUAAAGAAAACACACAAACUACCAUUUGUGAAGAUACGCAACGAAUUGGAGCACAACCUUCCUUGUUUCAUCCAUCAUCAUCGUUGUCUAGUGCUUCUACUUUUCAAUCUUCGAAAGAAAUGGAAGAAAUGCGAAGACAAAUUUCAGAGCUUACAGAAUCACUUCGAUCAUCAGAAACUAACUUUGCUAAAGUGCAGAAAUUCAUGGAGAAACAUAGGUUGAAUCUGAUGAAAGUGAAGGGACCGACUCUGAUGAAAAGUAGAUUAUUUUAUGGUUGUUUAGAUAUUUUCUAUGAGAUUUAGGCAUGUUUUGAACUAUUUACUUCCUUUUUGCAUAACAACUUAAUAAUUAUUAGACUUGAUUUUGGUGAAACUUGAGAUUUUAGACUCAAUUGAAUUGAAUUGAAUGCAAUUUGAAUGUUUAGGAAUGUA
This is a long non-coding RNA of Solanum pennellii, 619 nucleotides long. RefSeq lists it as uncharacterized. The record is from RefSeq and is a predicted model, not a curated record. Lineage: Eukaryota; Viridiplantae; Streptophyta; Magnoliopsida; Solanales; Solanaceae. The transcript has 2 exons.